RNAcentral lists this ribosomal RNA (262 nucleotides) under Salmonella enterica subsp. enterica serovar Typhimurium. RNAcentral describes it as "partial 23S ribosomal RNA". It matches the Rfam family "Bacterial large subunit ribosomal RNA", at positions 2159 to 2420 of the family's 2925-position model. The record is from RNAcentral. Lineage: Bacteria; Pseudomonadati; Pseudomonadota; Gammaproteobacteria; Enterobacterales; Enterobacteriaceae.
GAAGCACACGCGCCAGCGUGUGUGGAGUCAUCGUUGAAAUACCACUCUGGUCGCUCUGGAUAUCUAACUUCGGUCCGUGAUCCGGAUCAGGGACAGUGCCUGGUGGGUAGUUUAACUGGGGCGGUUGCCUCCCAAAGGGUAACGGAGGCGCUCAAAGGUUCCCUCAGCCUGGUUGGUAAUCAGGUGUUGAGUGCAAGUGCACAAGGGAGCUUGACUGUGAGACGGACAUGUCGAGCAGGGACGAAAGUCGGAACUAGUGACC